This 1288-nucleotide long non-coding RNA is filed under the name Astyanax mexicanus (Mexican tetra). Its description in RNAcentral is "lncRNA (ENSAMXG00005018741.1)". The record is from RNAcentral. Lineage: Eukaryota; Metazoa; Chordata; Actinopteri; Characiformes; Acestrorhamphidae.
GAGAAAAGGGGAAAACCGAACCGCGAGCUGAGAAAAGCGUGAAAACAGCGGAGAAAGAACAGCAGCAGCAGGAGGAGGAGGAGGAGGAGGAGGGCGCCUAACGGGACGAAGAGCAGGAGCAGAACUUCUGGAAAACUAUGGGCACAUAGCUGCUGUUAGCUUGGCUGCAUUUGUCACCCAGUUUGACAACUCAAAGAUUUCUGUUUCUGCGUUAAUCCUCCUCCUACAAACACAGGAAUAAAAUUACCGGAGGUCCCCCACAAAAGAAAAAAUGACACCAGGACCUUCUGAGAAAUGAAUCCCAUCUGGAUAGGGCUUUAGUGUGUUAGGCAGAAACAUCACCAUUGUUGGACUCUGUCCUGGACUGAAGGUUCCAGGGCCAAUGGAGGGAGAGAAGGAGAGAGAAAGAGAGAGAGGAGAAGAGAAAGAGAGUGAUGAGACAGAGGAGGAUGCUGAGGGAGCAGCCUUGGUGUGGCAGGAAGGCUACACAGAAGAUGACCUGGACUUACCCAUCAUGCACUGGGAAGCUCUGAGCUUGCGAAUCGCAGAACUCGAAAGACAAGAGGAAGAAAAAAGAGAGAGAAAUAAGGAUGUAGCUCGUUGGACAGAGCCAUGGCCGGAGUUACAUGAUCUUAGACACAGGGACGCCUGUGAAGAUGUUGAAGACAGUCGCCUGACUGCAUUAACAUCACGACUCCAGAGUCAUAUGAACCUACAGCUCUGCUUCAUCAACAACAGUGAGAGUGAGGGCGAGGAGGAGGAAGACGGCGCAAAAAAAGAGUGUGAGAAGAGUAGCAGUGGGCAGGUGCAGCAGCCCCUGCAGGGUUCCAGUUCUGCGACCCACAAGAAAACCAAAUCAGGCAGGUUCAAGAGAGAGGUCAGGGCUGCUCUCAGCACGCUCAGACACAAGCUGAGGUUGGAACAAAAACAGACUAUAGCCCCCAGUGAUGCAGUCAAACAGAGACCACACUACGAUUGCAGUGACUUACAGAAUUUCAGCUUAAAGGAGCUAAAAGCUUUGAAGACCACACUGAGUAAAGACAUUCACAACCUCAGCUCAGAAUUGGUGGGUCGUCUUCUGACAAGGGACCAGCUGAGGACUGAGCAGGAUGCCAUGUUACUGGAAAUACAGGACAUGAGGUCGCUGUGAUAUCACAGAGUGAGGAGGUCACUUUGUUCAAGGAACAAAAGGGAGGCUGCCACCAUAAAAACAUACAGACCUGGGAGAUCGGCCUGGAAGAAUGAGAUUGUACUGUGAAAAGCUUCACCACUCCAAAAAGACUGUUUA